GUUUCCGUAGGUGAACCUGCGGAAGGAUCAUUAUUGUAUAACCGAGGUGCGAGGGCUGUCGCUGACCCGAAAGGUCGUGCACGCCCGAGUGCCCUCACACACAUCCAUCUCACCCCUGUGCACCACCGCGUGGGUCCCCCUUUGGCUUGUUCGGAGGGGGGCUUACGUUUUCACACAAACUUUGUAUGCAGUGUAGAAUGUAUUUUUUGUUUUUGCGAUCACGCAAUCAAUACAACUUUCAACAACGGAUCUCUUGGCUCUC
RNAcentral lists this unclassified non-coding RNA (262 nucleotides) under plant metagenome. Its description in RNAcentral is "partial contains small subunit ribosomal RNA, internal transcribed spacer 1, and 5.8S ribosomal RNA". The record is from RNAcentral.